Molecule: ribosomal RNA, 253 nt
Filed under: uncultured bacterium
Lineage: Bacteria
Description: partial 16S ribosomal RNA
Rfam family: Bacterial small subunit ribosomal RNA
Source: RNAcentral
GACGUAGGGCGCGAGCGUUGUCCGGAUUUAUUGGGCGUAAAGAGCUCGUAGGCGGUCUGUCGCGUCUGCUGUGAAAACUCGGGGCUUAACCCCGGGCCUGCAGUGGGUACGGGCAGACUAGAGUGCGGUAGGGGAGACUGGAAUUCCUGGUGUAGCGGUGAAAUGCGCAGAUAUCAGGAGGAACACCCGUGGCGAAAGCGGCUCUCUGGGACGGUACUGACGCUGAGACGCGAAAGCGUGGGGAGCAAACAGG